Molecule: non-coding RNA, 524 nt
Organism: Pantherophis guttatus
Lineage: Eukaryota; Metazoa; Chordata; Lepidosauria; Squamata; Colubridae
Source: RefSeq, a predicted model, not a curated record
CCUCCCCUCCCCCCCCACAACUCGGCUCCGCUUCCGGCCUUGUCUGAGGGGAAAUUUUUUUCCCUCAGUUUUUACUUUAUUCACAAGAUGGACCACUUGUGUGCCCCAAUCUUAACUUUGGAUGGGGGUGUCGCUGUCAGCAAAUCCUCAAACUGGGAAUCCUGGUGGAUGCACGGUGGAGGCCAUGGCUGGAGUCCUCUGCCCAACUCUGGCUGGUGUAGCAGUUGCAGCUUUAUUUGGAGCUGGACCUUAUGACCACCUGAUCAGAUCGCUACCAUGUGCCGCUGAAGAUUACACAGAAACUUGACUACUUGGAUGCUGUUUCAGAUACCCAUGUUGUGGGUGCUCCGUUGACUGCCGGGCAUUUCCAUUCACUCACCACGAGGACCGGUGGAAGAGACGCUACUUCGCUGAGAGCUUUGGUCCCCACUGGGGGGGACCAUAAGUUUGUCCCCCUCCAUCUGUAACCCAAAAGAAAAACAAAUUGUAUGCUUGACAACAAAUUAAACAUAUGCACAUAUUCA